AAGCGAUACAUUUUUUUAAACCCCAUUAGAAGCGCUUCGGAAGAACAAACCAAUCCAGAGGAGAGGAAGAGACCCACAGAUAGAGAUAGGCGGCGGAAUAGACGGGGAUUCGGCGGAGCCGCGAGGAGAGAUUCCCUUUCCCUUGCGGUUAACCAGAACGGUUUCGAUUAUAUAUAUGUUUAUUUCACUAACCUUUCGCCAAGAAACUGCGAUUUAGACUGCCCUUCUCCCGUCGUCACUUAGUCAAACCACGAGCUCAGCUUCAUUGUUCCUGUGGAUGUAUCUUGUCGUCAUUCAAGAAGAAGAUUGGCUUGUGAAUUGGCCCGAUUCCUUUCUGGGUAUUCUCAGGCCGCCUUGUCUGUCUGUUGAGAGAAAGGCCUUCUCACAUUGUGUUUCGAGAGAUAGAUGGGAUAAAGAAUUCUUCAAGCUUCAGAGCGGAUAAUAUCAAUUUGUUGGUGUGCGAUCGCUUUUUGAAGUUGUUUUGGUUUCGAGCAGUUGUAAGGUUUUCGCUUAUCCAAAAUGAAUCCGUCUCAAGGCUCUACCUUGUCCGCAAACGUUGCGGGGUUUGUUGACGGCUCCUCUGCAAAAAGAGAAGUCUCAUACAUUGACAAUCUACCUGUUUAUGUUAAAGAGCUGAUAGCUGGUGGUGCUGCCGGUGCCUUUGCUAAGACUGCUGUUGCACCCUUGGAACGAACGAAGAUACUCUUGCAGACGAGAACUGAGGGAUUUCGGUCUCUUGGAGUAUUUCAAUCUAUGAAGAGGGUGGUGAAGCAUGAAGGUGUUCGUGGUUUCUAUAAGGGAAAUGGAGCAAGCGUUGCUCGGAUUAUUCCUUAUGCAGCUCUUCAUUUCAUGACGUAUGAGCAGUAUCGUUGUUGGAUCUUGAAUAACUAUCCAAGCUUAGGAACUGGGCCUCAUAUUGAUCUUCUAGCUGGUUCAGUAGCUGGAGGAACAGCUGUUUUAUGCACAUAUCCCUUGGACCUGGCACGAACAAAACUGGCUUACCAGAUUACUGACACAAGAACGAGGAGCGGUUUGGGAAGUUAUCAUACUCGCCCUGUGUACAAUGGCAUCAAGGACGUUCUAACAAGUGUUUAUAAAGCUGGUGGAGUACGUGCACUCUAUCGCGGUGUAGGUCCAACACUUACAGGAAUCCUUCCGUAUGCUGGUUUGAAAUUCUACAUUUAUGAAAAACUGAAAAGUCACGUUCCUGAGGAGCAUCAGAGAUCCAUUGUGAUGCGACUUUCUUGUGGGGCUCUGGCUGGAUUAUUGGGGCAGACAUUCACAUAUCCGCUGGACGUCGUUAGAAGACAAAUGCAGGUUGGAGAUAUGCCAUCUUCACUUCAUGGUCAAGUCAGAUUUAGGAACUCAAUCGAAGGUCUUACGAUGAUAGUUCGUAACCAAGGAUGGCGGCAGUUGUUUGCAGGACUGAGCAUUAACUACAUUAAGAUUGUUCCUUCUGUGGCCAUUGGAUUUACAGCAUAUGAUAGCAUGAAAUUAUGGCUCCGAAUCCCACCUCGUCAGAAGACGCAGUCAAUAUCUUCUGCCGCAUAAACCCAUUCCUCUCUAUGCCGACACUGUCCUUAGAUUCUAGACUGCCUUUUAAUUUAAAGAUGUAGCUGUCAUUCAUCUGUAUCUGCUUGAAUCUAUGGCUAGACAUGCUUUUCCUUCACUCCCUACUUUUUGGGAACUGACAAUGAAACAACUUUUAUGAUUAGACUAUAUUUGCUGUUGCUAUCAA
Cucurbita maxima (winter squash) is the source of this 1738-nucleotide RNA transcript. It is a transcript of the gene named mitochondrial carrier protein CoAc1-like, with no coding region annotated. Lineage: Eukaryota; Viridiplantae; Streptophyta; Magnoliopsida; Cucurbitales; Cucurbitaceae. The record is from RefSeq and is a predicted model, not a curated record. The transcript has 9 exons.